This 207-nucleotide ribosomal RNA is filed under the name uncultured bacterium. Its description in RNAcentral is "partial 16S ribosomal RNA". It matches the Rfam family "Bacterial small subunit ribosomal RNA", at positions 568 to 774 of the family's 1533-position model. The record is from RNAcentral.
CUCGUAGGCGGUUCGUCGCGUCCGGUGUGAAAGUCCAUCGCUUAACGGUGGAUCUGCGCCGGGUACGGGCGGGCUGGAGUGCGGUAGGGGAGACUGGAAUUCCCGGUGUAACGGUGGAAUGUGUAGAUAUCGGGAAGAACACCAAUGGCGAAGGCAGGUCUCUGGGUCGUUACUGACGCUGAGGAGCGAAAGCGUGGGGAGCGAACA